GUGCUUGCUUAGGCAGCACAUAUACUAAAAUUGGAACGAUACAGAGAAAAUUAGCGUGGCCCCUGUCCAAGGAUGACACGCAAAUUCGUGAAGCAUCCCAUAUUUUU
Molecule: small nuclear RNA, 107 nt
Filed under: Prolemur simus (greater bamboo lemur)
Lineage: Eukaryota; Metazoa; Chordata; Mammalia; Primates; Lemuridae
Source: RNAcentral